RNAcentral lists this long non-coding RNA (307 nucleotides) under Nicotiana benthamiana. RNAcentral describes it as "long non-coding RNA (NBEN_LNC025181)". The record is from RNAcentral. Lineage: Eukaryota; Viridiplantae; Streptophyta; Magnoliopsida; Solanales; Solanaceae.
CUCAAUCUGGUCCAAAGUCUAGCUCGCGAUGCCUUUGCCCCUUGAAUCGGCCUCCACUCCCGUCGAAUCUAUCCAAAAUCAGAAUCACGGCAUCAACAUAUGCUAUGGGAACAAAACCCAAGCGAAAAUAAUCAAGCUACAACUUAAACUCCGAAAUUAUCAAAAUCUGACCCCGGGCCCAUGUCUCGGAAUCCGAUAAAAAUUACAUCAAUGGGUUCCUUAUCACUCCCCGAGUUCAUACAUACCAAAAGCAUCAAAAUCUAUCUGCAAACGACUCCUCAAAUCUCAAUUUCUAGGUCUCCAAUUU